Molecule: ribosomal RNA, 345 nt
Filed under: Triticum aestivum (bread wheat)
Lineage: Eukaryota; Viridiplantae; Streptophyta; Magnoliopsida; Poales; Poaceae
Description: partial small subunit ribosomal RNA
Source: RNAcentral
AUGCCUGGUUCGAACAAGGCGUCCAGCUCCCUCCUGGACCAGUACAAGGUGAUGGAGGGAAUGGAGGACCAGCACAAGAUUCUCAAGCGCAAGCUUCCGGCCAUCCUCGACGUCAUGACCGACGCCGAGGAGCAGGCCACGGCUCAUAGAGAUGGGGCCAAAGCCUGGCUCCAGGAGCUCAAGACAGUGGCCUAUGAGGCAAAUGAAGUCUUCGACGGAUUCAAGUACGAAGUGCUCCGCCGUGAAGCCGCAUAUUUAAAUGAAACAACCAAACAAGAACAACACAAGUUCAAUUUUAUUGCGGGGCGCACACAUUCAAAUUCGCUAGAGCACAUCGUUGAUUAG